RNAcentral lists this ribosomal RNA (448 nucleotides) under uncultured bacterium. RNAcentral's name for it is "bacterial SSU rRNA". It matches the Rfam family "Bacterial small subunit ribosomal RNA", at positions 328 to 794 of the family's 1533-position model. The record is from RNAcentral.
GGCCCAGACUCCUACGGGAGGCAGCAGUGGGGGAUAUUGCACAAUGGGGGAACCCUGAUGCAGCGACGCCGCGUGGGUGAAGAAGCGCCUCGGCGCGUAAAGCCCUGUCAGCAGGGAAGAAAAUGACGGUACCUGAAGAAGAAGCCCCGGCUAACUACGUGCCAGCAGCCGCGGUAAUACGUAGGGGGCAAGCGUUAUCCGGAUUUACUGGGUGUAAAGGGGGCGCAGACGGCGAUGCAAGCCAGGAGUGAAAGCCCGGGGCCCAACCCCGGGACUGCUCUUGGAACUGCGUGGCUGGAGUACGGGAGGGGCAGGCGGAAUUCCUGGUGUAGCGGUGAAAUGCGUAGAUAUCAGGAGGAACACCGGCGGCGAAGGCGGCCUGCUGGACCGUGACUGACGUUGAGGCUCGAGAGCGUGGGGAGCAAACAGGAUUAGAUACCCCCGUAAU